This 2714-nucleotide long non-coding RNA is filed under the name Macaca fascicularis (crab-eating macaque). RNAcentral describes it as "lncRNA (ENSMFAG00000056970.1)". Lineage: Eukaryota; Metazoa; Chordata; Mammalia; Primates; Cercopithecidae. The record is from RNAcentral.
GGGCUUCUCCCCACUUGACAUAUUUUUUCCCUCUUCAAAAUAGAUUGAAAGCCUCUUAGUGCAGGAAGCAGGCAUAUCAGUAUCAAACUGAUGUCAUCCAAUGCAAUUAUUGUAAGCUCCAGGUUUGUCUAAGUUUGGAUGAAGAAUGUGUUCAUGAACAUGUUUGCAACAUACAGUUAUCUAGCUUCCCCUUUGACAGAGUCACCCUUUUCAUCAAAAUAUACAGUAAGCCCAACCUAAAAAUUACAAGUUUACAAAUAUAGGAAUAGAAAAACCCAAAAAGCUAAUUUGCACAUAAAAAUUAUCUUCUGCUGCUAUAAAUGGGUAUGGAAAUAUUUGUAGAAUUGGUUUAACUGAUUUUGUAAAACAAAUGUCAUGCUAUUUUGCCAUAGUGAGACAUGCAGUAAUUCUUAAAAUGACAUUAAUAGAAGGCAAGAACAUUGAAUCAGACAUAGCAGAUAACAGGUUCAGUGAUAAAUGAACAAUAGACUAAGCAAGCUCUUUAGGAAGCUACAUGAGAACAGAAUGUAUUACUGUGCCCCAGUCCAAGCUGCAUGACUUUAUUGGUUAUAGAAUAAAUGGAAUUUGAGAUGGAGAUUUGCCAGUUUUUACAGUCUGUCUUCAGUAGUUUUGUUGGCUGCCUCUGCACCUUUCUAAGUGUUACGUGAAAAUAAAAUUACUUAAGUUCUAAAGUAGUUUAGGAAGGAGAUGUGAUGACAAGAAAAAGAAGUUAACUUCUGAACAGUUUGGUCCAGGAAGAAGAUGGGCAGAGUACAGUUUAAGCCCCGGGUUGAAGAAUACAUUCAAUUUGGAGAGCUGGAGAAGACCUUUGAAGGAGGUCAAAAUGAGAUCUUGGAACAGAACUCUCACCUGUGUGUCUGGAUAUGCAUGAAAACUGGACAGUAUUACUGAGCUACUGCUUACGUGGUGAGCAGAAAAUCGAUAACCACAAGCUGGGUAGGUUCUGCUGUGAAGCCCACAUAAAAUCACAAGGCCUAGAUAGCUUGGAGUUAAAAGCCAAGGAUAGCUGUAUAGUUUGGGUUCCAUAGUUUACAGUGAGAUUGUGCUACUGAGCAGUCAUUUUGGGGGCAGUGGUUCUGAGAUUACAAGCCAUAACCCAGCCAAGAAUGGGCUACAUGUGGAAUGAGGAUGAGGAAGUUGCUGCAUAUACACCCUAGUGUGUGUGUCUGUAUGUAUGUGUGUGUGUGUGUGUGUGUAUGUGUAUUAAGUGAAACGUAGUUAACUUUUUUGCUCACAGCCAAAGAUUAUUCAUCUAGAGAAGCCAUUGGAAUUUUAGCAGAGUUUUGUGUGUAUGUGGAUUUUUCUGAUAAGUAGUAAAUCAGAGGCCUUAACCACUGCCCAACAGCGAUUCUCCAUUGAGAGUACAUAUCAUGAACUUAAGAAAUUCAUUUGCUCUGAUUUUAAAUGUUGUAAAGUUUUCCUUCAUGAGAGGCCUUAUCUCUAAACUAUAUUGUGGCAGUAUCUGAUCAAACUACUUAAAAUAUAAGUACCAUGUAAAUAAGGUUUUAAUACAAACGAUGACUCACUUCUAAAUGGUUUGCUGUUUAAAAAUGUGCUGCUGUGGGAAAAAUGAUUUUUUUUUUUUUUUUUUGAGACGGAGAGUCUUGCUCUGUUGCCCAGACUGGGGUGUAAUGGCACAAUCUUGGCUCACUGCAGCCUCCUCCUCCCAGGAGAAUUGCUUGAACCCUGGAGGCAGAAGUUGCAUUGAGCCAACAUCGUGCCAUUGCCCUCCAGCCAGGACAACAGAGCAAGACUCUGUCUCAAAAACAAAAACAAAUGAAUACUCAGUUUCCAAAUUGGAGGAAUCAAGAAGAAAGGAAAAGCAAAUAUUUCCACCUUUGUUCACAAAAGUAUUCCAAAUUGCUGUAAACUAUAGAUAGCAUGAGAUAAUUUCCUUUAAUAUGAAAAACAAAACAUUUAAGUAAAAAACCAAUAAUGCUUCACAUAAAAGUUACAAACAUCUUCAGUUACUCAGUCUCAUGUAACUUUUUUGUUGUGGUUGAUCUUAACUAGUAGUUACAUGGAUCCAUUCAAGUUCUGAAAAAAUAUUUAGUCCAUUGGCAUUAAAGUUAUUAGUAACCUGUAUUUAAAAUGUGCUAGCAUCUUUUUCAUGAAUCUGAUUGCAAAUACUUUUAGAGAAAAAGCAAUAACUGGGAAUGACAAAAACUUAGAAUAACCAUGAUUAAAAAUCUGAUGAGAGUUUACCAUAACCAAAAAUAGACAAGUAGUUUUGGUUAUUUUUGUGGCAAACAGCAUAAUCAGAAUUAUGACUGAUGAUAGAUUUCUAACGGCAUUAUACAAUUUUGGAACACUCAUAUCAAUAACAUACUCGUAAAUGUAACUGUGUCUAGUAUUACAUCAUUAGACAAUGCUUUUCAUACAAUUUAAUACAUCAAACAAGCCUAAUUAGCUAACUUCUCUACCAGAUGGCAUACACAUACUCUGAGGCUUUCCAGAGGCCCGAGUGGAAAACUCCAAAGGUAAUUUUAAGUCAAAAACACCUAAUUUAGAACUUGAUCCUAGAGAAGGCUGUCAAAGAUGUCAAAGGGUUCAAAACAGAAUCACAGGUCACUGUAAAAUAUUUAACAAAAACGAUAACCAAAAGACCAGAAGCAGUACAGAAAGUUACAUACAUUUAAAAACCUUCAUCUUUUCAAAGCUUCAUUUUUCCUAAGCAAAAAAAAAAAAAAAAA